RNAcentral lists this unclassified non-coding RNA (219 nucleotides) under Hevea brasiliensis (rubber tree). Lineage: Eukaryota; Viridiplantae; Streptophyta; Magnoliopsida; Malpighiales; Euphorbiaceae. The record is from RNAcentral.
UUUGAUCAUUGAUUAUGAUGGGAUAAUGUUGUUAAUUUUGAGAUCCUUUGUUUUCACCCUGUUUAUUAGCAUUUUUUUUACAGUAAAAGAUCUGGUGGCCUUAUUGUUACAGAAAAUUAUCUUGUCUAACAUAGGUGGAUCCCCUCAUUGCCUUGAUGGUUGAGAAAAAUAUGUUUCUUCUUUGCAUAUAAAAAUGGUCUACGAUUAGCUGACUUUGUG